This is an RNA transcript of Lolium perenne, 3957 nucleotides long. RefSeq lists it as uncharacterized. The record is from RefSeq and is a predicted model, not a curated record. NCBI's taxonomy places the organism in Eukaryota, Viridiplantae, Streptophyta, Magnoliopsida, Poales, Poaceae.
UUUCCUUCCUCACGCGGUUCUGCCGGUCGCUCAAUCUUCUCCCAUCGUUGGCCUCCUUCUUCGCAGCCGCACGAAGAAACCAAGGAAGAGACGCCGCCUCUCAUCUCCGGCUAGCAGGCAACUCGCCUCCCUGCUCGCCCACUCCUUCAUCGGGAUCUGCGUCCGCCACCAUUGGGACUUCACCGUGGUGGCCGUCGCCUCCACGCAGAGUGCGGCCGGUGGCUGCCGCCUGGUCAUCACCGCGGCCGCCGCGGCGCCGCGGCAUCGCAUCCUCGCAGAGUACCAUUGGUGCAGAUAUCCAUGCUCCAUCGAUUUGUGCUGCUGGUGUCGUAGACUAUCUAGGUAAGGACGGCAGCCCCUGCCAAGGCCUUAGGCAGGCCGGAACCGCAACCGGUACAACAAUACGCGCAUGCGCCCCUCCGCGCGAGCCGGUGUGCCCCGUUCCUGAGCUGAUAUGGAGUUGUCGUUGCCAUCCCUCUGUGCGCCCCCGAGACCUGCACUGCAAUUUCCUCCUUUCCCAUUUGAUUUGAUUUGAUUUCGCAGCCAGACGUGGAUCCACCAGCCUGCUUGUGGGGGAGAUGUACUCCAAUUAUAGUUCCUCCUUUCUCAUUUGAUUUGAUUAAUUAUUUAUAGUUGUUCACUGAUUUGUGAAUUCUGAUUGCGUGCAGCAGCCAAUUACACAGGAGUGAGGACAUAUAGAAAUAUAUGGGUUAUUCGACGAUGUCGUUGAUGCUACUCGGAUGUGGACGUCACCAGGUACAAGGUGCGGUGGGUUUCUCUGCAGAUGGAGACGGCCUUCCACCACAGCGCACGCGACCUACCGACAUCCUCGCAGGAAGCCUGCCUGCACUCUCAGACUGUAUGAGCAUGGCUACACUGCACCUCCAAGACCCCAUCCUGAUGAAACUACCAUUGAAUUUGUUUCAUUCCAGACAUGGAACUCGACUCUACUUCAUAAGUUCUUUGCUCUGUAUUUCUGAUGUCAUGCUUAUAGUAUCCAUUGUUGUUUACCUCCUUUUAUUGGGAUUUGCAGUGGUGGCUGGACCAUUACUGGUACAACAUUUGACUUGCGUGAUCCUAGGAUCCUUGUAGUAGCACAAAACCACAUUAUGGAAGCUGAGUAUGAUGAUUAUUCAGCUACCAACGCCAGCACUGCUGCCUUUUGCCGUUCUGCUGCUCUUCUGUUAAUGGCUCUCCUAUUAUUGAGGCAUGCAUUGACUCUAACUGAUGAAGAUGAUGAUGAUACUUCAGCAAUGUUUUCACUUUUCUUACUGCUUCUGACUUCUUAGGCUCGGUUCCCCAAAUGGUGAAAGGCAGAAAAUACCUUGAACUUAUCCUCAUUGCACGAACAAUUAUGUUCUUCUUCCUUUUUUAUAUGUUCACCUGGCUUGGAGAAGAGAAUCCUUUAAAGGGAAUGGAGGUCCAGGCCAGAUUUAGCCUUCUAGAAGCACCUAUGGUUAUGACUAGGAGAGCACAGAUGCGACCGAAGCUGCACCUUGUUCCGCUGCCGCCAACAGCUACCAAGUGUCCCGCCCGCUGGAUCUGCACUGCAGAAACCGGGGUCGAUUGUUGAACUCCAUAUCAUGUUUCGUCAGCUUCAAACCUUAUAAGUUGGUUCACUACAUUAAGAACCUGCAUGUGGUCAAAGUACAAGCUGCGGAUCUGAAACAUUUGCAAGAAUUAACUUCCAUGAAGAUCGAACUCCCACUGCCACAAGUAUGAGGUAUUUUACCUGUACCAGGUUAAUAGUAAUGCUACUGCCACGAGUCCGCGAGCUUUGCUAUAAAAUUGUUAUGGAUUAGCUGGUUACUGAAGACCAGAUGUGGUGCGAGCACUAGAACUCAACCGGGAGAGACAUGUGAGGAUGAGCAUUCAAAAAUUAGAUAGCCGACAUGAGGUUAUUUUGCAACAAAUAGAAGCUUUCAAGGGGCUAAACGCACAAUAUAUAGGAGUUCUCCUGUCCUUGCCUUUAAAUCCUGUGAAGAUCGAACGGCCUAGGUUUAACGUGUACAUUUUAUCAGCUAGAAGCCGGUAUCAGUAGAUAUGUUCUCGAAACUGCCUACAUAUUUAUCUCCAAGGCAUAGCAAUCUAAUUAAUAGUGUAAUUUGUUGCCAAGUGCAGGCAGAGGUGCAGAGUGUUUAUAUGCACAUAGGUUCUCUCCUGUAAUUUAAACAGCCAACGGAAAUCUUUUCUCCAUAUAGGAUAUGGAUGACAUCACAUUCCUGUUUCUCGGUAAUUUUGCAUUUGAUUUUCACUCACCAUGUGCGCAGCCAGGCCUGUUAUGAUCAGUUCUUUUAUCUCACAUUUCUUUUGUUGAUAAUUGGUGUGCUAGGUGGUCUGGUUUACAUUGUCCUUUUAUUAAAAAUAUAAUGUCAAAUAUACAUCAUGCUAAAACUUAAGGAUAGAAUUGUGUGGAUAAAUGCUAAUUUGAAUUCAGAUAUGUGUUAUAUUUAUGUCAUGUAUAAGUGCUUGAUGAACCUCAACCUUGCCAUUGCAUUAUGUAGGUUAGAAUUAACAUAGUGCAAAAUUGGACCUGGUAUAGUUUAUCCAUUAGCUUAGAUUCAAAUGAUGCCUCAUUUCUGGCAUUUGUAUUGCCUUGCAACUUUGCAGAGUAGUAUUGGAGGAAUAGAGUAUGCUUUGGCAUAUCAUCAUUCAUUUGUUCUUUUCUUUUGCUUGGUAGGAACAAAUCUCAACUGGUUUGGUCGUGCUGCUAGAAAAUGAAUGUCCUUCCGCUGCUGAUCUUGCACUAUGCUCUUUUUAUAUACUGGUAAGCAAAUGUUCUAACUGGAUUUUUUGAUUUCUCCGCAGACUUCUUGCUCUGCAGGCCAGCAACGGUUCAACCCAAUACAGGGCAUGUUCAUACUGAAACCGUGGGUGUAGAUUUUGUACUUAUUGGAAUCAUGGUGCAGAUUACAACACAAUGAGAUUUGGUUUGAUGGUAAAAAAACCUCUUACCGUAGCACUCUACGUCCGUUUUAACUGUAUCCACACAAAAUGAUCAUCUAAUUUCCUAAGUUACCGGUCACGCAAAACUAUGGUUAAUUCUUCAUAUUAUCAGAAGUAGAAAUAGACCUGACCUAUAUCUUAUGAGCUUAGAGGAAAUCGUGCAAACUAAAGGCUCCUGGAAUAAUAGUUGUUGAUUCCCCCACCUUGCCAUACUGUCAUCUAUCCGCAUCUUGUCUGGAACAUCGCAAGCUUCCCAUCAACAUGUUCAUGUUCAAUUCGUUAUGUUGCCACGUCUUACAUGUUGCAUUUCUCUUGGUCCCCAUCUCAGCACAUGAUCACAAUGAUCUGGAUAGUAAUCCAGUAAUAUUGGAUAGCUCCCUUCAAGUUUUGGUUAUGGUUGGAGCAUUUAUAGUUUGAUGUCAAAGUUUUGUUCUACAAGUGAAUUAUAUGGAUUGUAAAAUUUAGAGGUUCGAUAUUUGCAACGAAGCUGGUAUUCCCAGUGUGCUGAAGUUGCUGCUGUUUUUAUCUAAAGCUAAUGAAAUUUCCAUAGCAGGGGAAUUUUUCUAAAGAUAAUGAUUUCAUCAUGCUUGAGUAGUAUUCUAGACAUAUCUUCAGAAUGUAGAAGGAGGAAAACCAAAAAAAGACUUGAGAGGGGGGUCAUCAUGCUCAAGAAGGUGAUUAGGGAGGCAUGCACAUGAAGACAUGGAUGGUCACUAGAUGGAAAGACCUUGGACUGAUCAGGAUGAAGUCAAGUUUCAGAAAAAGUUUGGUAAUGCUUUAGAUAUACCGAUGAAUGAACCGGGUUUUUUUUUUUUUUGCUUUCCUAGGCUCUAAUAACUUGUACACUUAUUUUUGUUUCUUUCCGUUUGCAAGAGCUUUAUUUUAUGGUUUCUUUAAUGACAAUCGAUGAGGCUUGUCGGCUCAAAUUUAUUUUUACAGUUUUCACUGAGGUGAAUUCGUGAAGUUGUUUUUUCUCAGGUUCUUGAGGCUGACUUGAUAUGAUUUUUUUAG